GUAGACAUUCGGUCGGUGCAAACGGUUUAACUGCAAUGCUUUAUAACUGCAAGUCCGGUAAGUGCAACAAAUUUGCAGUUAUCGCACCGCCAAACGUCAAAAUGGUGCGCCAUGUUAGCCCUAAUGAAUAGUCGAAUGAAUUUUUCGUUCAUUUUACGUCAAUUGACGGUUUGUUGACACUGUCAGGCGUUGCAGUUAUCGAAUUUUCGUUCGCUAAGUGAAACGUAAACAUGUUGCAGUUAUCGAACGUCUACUGUACAAUAAUACCGGACAACAACCUUGCAAAGUUGAUGUUCGUGACUAAUUCGGUUGGCACUAGAAGACGUGGAGCGCAGAGAGCACGAUGGGCGGACCCGGUGCUGAGUGACUUGGCGAGUAUUGGGCGUGACCGAGGAUGGAGAGCGACAGUCACAAACCGAGUGUUGUGGCGUGCUAUUAUUGAUUAUCACCCUCAUUCUUGUUUACGGACGUAUCCACUUUCAAACGUUUUUGGUUCGAUCGAAUCAUUUGAUUUUGCUGGCGUAAACGGGAAUGCGAACAAUUUUCGUUCGAAAGUGGAUUCGAUCGAAAACAAGAAUGAGGGUGUAUGUCUCAUUAGUCCUAUUUUAAAUGUGAUGUUGAACAAAUAAAUGCAAAUGAAGCCGUGUUAAAUCAAGCGUGCCAGUUUGCGUUCAAGGGAUUUUUUGUUGUUGAUAUUCUGCUUCGUGGGUUCACGCACACGCGCACUUUCUCGCGUAAUAACAGCGCCCUGACUCGCAAGAGCAUUAGAUCGAUUCUUGAAAGAACAACUCUCCAUUAACUACGCAGACUCUACGAGUCUACGGGGGGCUAGGGGGAGCUCUGAGAUGGCCGAAAAUUUGUACGUAGUUUAUGGACAGCGCCAUACGGUUGUGUUGAUGCUCGCGUUUUGUUUGAACAAAAAAAAAACUGUAUGAAUGAAACACGAUUGGAUCGAUGAAGCUAAUGCGAAAACAGUAUACUAUUUUAUUUGUUGACGUUUAUUUUACUCCUAACCGAUACAUAACGUACAUAGCAAGUUUCAAUCUGCAAAUAACCAGAUGUGGAGUCGCAAAACCACAUCUGGGACUAGGUUGCGCAUUGUUGGUUUUGUCCAGCAAAUUGUGUAUUUAUCUUCUAUUAUUUUACUAUCAAGGGCAAUCUAAUCGUGUAUCAGUUUAUGAUCUAUCUGAGACGAUCUGCAGGGUUUCGACGCUUGUUAAAGAAUGUGAUCUACUUUAGACAAAAGAAGUGUCGGGAUUCUCGUACAAAAACACUAUCCCAUUGGGCGUGCAAAUAUCUAAUGUUCGUUUGAAAACGAUAUUCCAAAUGGGAUAUUUUUUCGGGUAUACGAUUAGCGUAGAAAUAUGAAGUGUUGGUUCGUAGCUGCUGCUUAGUGGGUUUCAUCUAGUUUUAAACUUUCUCAAAAUUCAAUAAACAUCGUUAGCUAAUUUUAGGACUGUACUGAUUUUCCAUCUUUAUUUGAUUUCUGACUUGUUGCUUUUGUUCACGUCUCGUCUGCGGACUGCUUCCUUCUUCGUGGGCAGUGUGCAAUUAGUGGUAUUCGCAGAACUCAUCCCAUAACCAGUGUGGGGGGAGUG
Molecule: long non-coding RNA, 1598 nt
Organism: Aedes albopictus (Asian tiger mosquito)
Lineage: Eukaryota; Metazoa; Arthropoda; Insecta; Diptera; Culicidae
Exons: 2
Source: RefSeq, a predicted model, not a curated record